AGAGUUUGAUCCUGGCUCAGGAUCAACGCUGGCGGCGUGCCUAAUGCAUGCAAGUCGAGCGGGGUCUUCGGAGCACUUACGCGGCGGACGGGUGCGGAACACGUGGGCAACCUGCCCCGAGGUGGGGGAUAGCCGGUGGAAACACCGGGUAAUUCCGCAUACGGUCACUGGCUGGAGGGCUGGUGAGGAAAGGGUCUUCGGACUCGCCUUGGGAGGGGCCUGCGGUCGAUUAGCUAGACGGUGGGGUAACGGCCUACCGUGGCGAUGAUCGGUAGCUGGUCUGAGAGGACGGCCAGCCACACGGGGACUGAGACACGGCCCCGACUCCUACGGGAGGCAGCAGCAAGGAAUCUUCCGCAAUGGGCGAAAGCCUGACGGAGCAACGCCGCGUGUGGGAUGACGCCUUUCGGGGUGUAAACCACUUUUCUCAGGGAAGAAUUCCUGACGGUACCUGAGGAAUAAGGACCGGCUAACUACGUGCCAGCAGCCGCGGUAAUACGUAGGGUCCGAGCGUUGUCCGGAGUUACUGGGCGUAAAGCGCGCGCAGGCGGCGGUGUAAGCAUGGCGUGAAAGCCCCAGGCUCAACCUGGGAGGGUCGUCGUGGACUGCACCGCUUGAGGGCGGUAGGGGCUGGUGGAAUGCCUGGUGUAGUGGUGAAAUGCGUAGAGAUCAGGCGGAACACCCGUGGCGAAGGCGGCCAGCUGGGCCUCCCUGACGCUGAGGCGCGAAGGCGUGGGGAGCGAACGGGAUUAGAUACCCUAGUAGUCC
Molecule: ribosomal RNA, 768 nt
Filed under: uncultured bacterium
Lineage: Bacteria
Description: bacterial SSU rRNA
Rfam family: Bacterial small subunit ribosomal RNA
Source: RNAcentral